AGAACAGCACGGAGUCCUUCAGCUGCAGGCAGAAGGCCUGUCUGACUCAGUACUCCACGUAGGCAAGUUCGUGUGCUUCGCCCCUUCUAUUGCUACAUGCCUUGUGACAGCAACCAAAGCCGUCAGUGACUGAAAUCCUGGAGUCACACAGAAAUGAGGCAGUAAUACAGGAAAAGCUUCAUGCUGAUCAGUGUCCAGCAGGGUGUUGAGGGUUCUGCUGAUCCAGCACAAGUGGUUUCUCAGACAUCACACCAUUUUCUGGUGACUCAAAACUGAAGUGCUGAGAUGGACACAUCAAAAGGGAGGACCAGUUUACUGAGAGCACU
This is a long non-coding RNA of Gallus gallus (chicken), 326 nucleotides long. The record is from Ensembl. Lineage: Eukaryota; Metazoa; Chordata; Aves; Galliformes; Phasianidae.